RNAcentral lists this unclassified non-coding RNA (233 nucleotides) under Glomus sp. Its description in RNAcentral is "partial contains 5.8S ribosomal RNA and internal transcribed spacer 2". The stretch from base 1 to 71 matches the Rfam family "5.8S ribosomal RNA", at positions 84 to 154 of the family's 154-position model. Lineage: Eukaryota; Fungi; Glomeromycota; Glomeromycetes; Glomerales; Glomeraceae. The record is from RNAcentral.
GUGAAUCAUCGAAUUUUUGAACGCAAAUUGCACCCUCUGGUAUUCCGGAGAGUAUGCCUGUUUGAGGGUCAGUUUAAAUAAAAAUCGGUGUGGUUGCUGCCUUUCGAGGUGAGGCACCGGAUUUGGGUCGUCUUGGCUUAGGAUAAGUGACCUAAAAUAUUGAAUGAUUUUUUUCGAACGUAUUGAAAUGACUGUACGGACGUUUGCGAUAUCGAAUACUAGGUGUGGUCAUA